RNAcentral lists this unclassified non-coding RNA (1558 nucleotides) under uncultured fungus. RNAcentral's name for it is "sequence contains 18S rRNA gene, ITS1, 5.8S rRNA gene, ITS2, 28S rRNA gene". The stretch from base 472 to 1558 matches the Rfam family "Eukaryotic large subunit ribosomal RNA", at positions 1 to 961 of the family's 3401-position model. The record is from RNAcentral. Lineage: Eukaryota; Fungi.
GGAAGGAUCAUUAACAAAUUCAAUGAUGUAAUAUAAUUGAGAAAUGGUUGACGUAAUGUUGACAGCUAUACGCAGAUAUUGUAGUCGUUUAAAUAUAAAUGUAAUUAAUAUACAACUUUUAACAAUGGAUCUCUUGGCUCUCGCAACGAUGAAGAACGCAGUGAAUUGCGAUAACUAGUGUGAAUUGCAUUACUUUGUGAAUCAUCGAGUCUUUGAACGCAUAUUGCACUGUUUGGCCCUCCAAACAGUAUGCCUGUUUGAGUAUCAUGAACAACCUACAAACAUUUGUUUGUGACGUGGACAAUAAGCAAUAUUUGUGCUUUUGUCUUGAAUAUAGCAAUGAAAAUGGUUUUGUUUUGUGCACAAGUCCAUUCGCAACAAGUGCAGUAUGCCUUGCAACGAUUAGACUAGCAUGGAAUUACUACCAUACAACUUUUAUUGACGAAUGUACUAAUCAUACACCUAUAAAAUUGAUCUCAAAUCAGGCAAGAUUACCCGCUGAACUUAAGCAUAUCAGUAAGCGGAGGAAAAGAAACUAACUAGGAUUCCUUCAGUAACGGCGAGUGAAGCAGGAACAGCUCAAAUUUGUAAUCGGCGCAAGUCGAAUUGUAAUUAAUAGAACCGUAGUCUGACCGUUGCCUUGGUAAAAGUUUGCUGGAAGGCAACAUCAUAGAGGGUGACAAUCCCGUCUUUGGCCUUGGCACACGGUUUUAUGAUGCGGCUUCAACGAGUCGGGUUGUUUGGGAAUGCAGCCCAAAAUGGGUGGUAUACUCCAUCUAAAGCUAAAUAACGGCGAGAGACCGAUAGCGAACAAGUACCGUGAGGGAAAGAUGAAAAGAACUUUGAAAAGAGAGUUAAAAGUGCGUGAAAUUGUUAAAAGGGAAGCGAUUGGCACCAGUUUUGUUGUUGUUGAAGGCUACCGGCGAACGGAAGAUUGUGGAGGAUGGAGCGCAAGCCCAUUGCUGCAGUUGGAAGGGAGUCAAGUGGUCCGCUCUGCACCGACAAGUCAGCAUCAGUUUCAUCUGCUGGACAGCCAGCAAGGAAGGUAGCGAGGUGCGAAAGCAUCACGAACUUAUAGCCUUGCGUCGGCCGCAGUGGAAGAGACUGAGGAGUGCAACGUCAAACCGUCAAAGUAACAAUGCCAUACCUAGUGCCGAAUGCACUGCACGCAGAGCACCGGCUAGGCGAGGUUAUUUGUUGCUUUGGCGUAUGGCGUACAGGAUGCUGACGAAAUGGUUCUAACCGACCCGUCUUGAAACACGGACCAAGGAGUCUAACAUGAGUGCGAGUAAAUGAGUGGCAAACUCACUUGCGUAAUGAAAGUGAACAGAGGGAACUGUCGAGAGACAAUGCACCUUUGACCGAUCAGGAUAUUCUUUGAAAGAUUUGAGUAAGAGCAUUCAUGUUGGGACCCGAAAGAUGGUGAACUAUGCCUGGGUAGGAUGAAGCCAGAGGAAACUCUGGUGGAGGUCCGUCGCGGUUCUGACGUGCAAAUCGAUCGUCAAACCUGGGUAUAGGGGCGAAAGACUAAUCGAACCAUCUAGUAGCUGGUUCCCUC